Molecule: ribosomal RNA, 422 nt
Filed under: uncultured bacterium
Lineage: Bacteria
Description: partial 16S ribosomal RNA
Rfam family: Bacterial small subunit ribosomal RNA
Source: RNAcentral
AAUUUUGUACAAUGGGGGGAGGCCCGAUCCAGCCAUGCCGCGUGUGUGAAGAAGGUCUUCGGAUUGUAAAGCACUUUAAGUUGGGAGGAAGGGUUGUAGGUUAAUGCCCUGCAAUUUUGACGUUACCAACAGAAUAAGCACCGGCUAACUUCGUGCCAGCAGCCGCGGUAAUACGAAGGGUGCAAGCGUGAAUCGGAAUUACUGGGCGUAAAGCGCGCGUAGUGGGUUCGUUAAGUUGGAAGUGAAAGCCCCGGGCUUAACCUGGGAAUUGCUUUCAAAACUGACGAGCUAGAGUACGGUAGAGGGUAGUGGAAUUUCCUGUGUAGCGGUGAAAUGCGUAGAUAUAGGAAGGAACAUCAGUGGCGAAGGCGACUACCUGGACUGAUACUGACACUGAGGUGCGAAAGCGUGGGGAGCAAACA